AAUCAACGCUGGCGGCGUGCCUAACACAUGCAAGUCGAACGCGAAAGCCCCUUCGGGGGUAAGUAGAGUGGCGUCCGGGUGAGUAACACGUAGGUAAUCUACCUUCGGGUGGGGAAUAACCAGUCGAAAGAUUGGCUAAUACCGCAUAAUGCAGCGGCACCUAAUGGUGAUUAGUUGUUAAAGCGGGGGAUCGUAAGACCUCGCGCCUGAAGAGGAGCCUGCGGCAGAUUAGCUAGUUGGGAGGUAAUGGCUCACCAAGGCUUCGAUCUGUAGCUGGUCUGAGAGGACGGCCAGCCACACUGGCACUGACACACGGGCCAGACUCCUACGGGAGGCAGCAGUGGGGAAUUUUGGGCAAUGGGCGAAAGCCUGACCCAGCAACGCCGCGUGAGGGAGGAAAUCCUUCGGGAUGUAAACCUCACAAGCAAGGGAAGAGAGCUCAGGGCCGAAUAAGCUUUGAGUCCGACGGUACCUUGCGUAAGCCACGGCUAACUACGUGCCAGCCGCC
RNAcentral lists this ribosomal RNA (508 nucleotides) under uncultured bacterium. RNAcentral describes it as "bacterial SSU rRNA". It matches the Rfam family "Bacterial small subunit ribosomal RNA", at positions 32 to 516 of the family's 1533-position model. The record is from RNAcentral.